GACGAACGCUGGCGACGUGCUUAACACAUGCAAGUCGAGCGGUAAGGCCCUUUCGGGGGUACACGAGCGGCGAACGGGUGAGUAACACGUGGGUGACCUGCCCUCAGCUCUGGGAUAAGCCUGGGAAACCGGGUCUAAUACCGGAUAUGACUCCAUGACGCAUGUUGUGGGGUGGAAAGCCUUGUGCGGCUGAGGAUGGGCCCGCGGCCUAUCAGCUUGUUGGUGGGGGAUGGCCUACCAAGGCGACGACGGGUAGCCGGCCUGAGAGGGCGACCGGCCACACUGGGACUGAGACACGGCCCAGACUCCUACGGGAGGCAGCAGUGGGGAAUCUUGCGCAAUGGGCGAAAGCCUGACGCAGCGACGCCGCGUGAGGGAUGACGGCCU
RNAcentral lists this ribosomal RNA (387 nucleotides) under uncultured bacterium. RNAcentral describes it as "bacterial SSU rRNA". It matches the Rfam family "Bacterial small subunit ribosomal RNA", at positions 28 to 417 of the family's 1533-position model. The record is from RNAcentral.